UAUUUAUUNUUACUAAACACUNACNUANAGUUUGAUCCUGUAGUCAGAUUGAACGCUGGCGGCAGGCCUAACACAUGCAAGUCGAGCGGAUGAAGAGAGCUUGCUCUCUGAUUCAGCGGCGGACGGGUGAGUAAUGCCUAGGAAUCUGCCUGAUAGUGGGGGACAACGUUUCGAAAGGAACGCUAAUACCGCAUACGUCCUACGGGAGAAAGCAGGGGACNUUCGGGCCUUGCGCUAUCAGAUGAGCCUAGGUCGGAUUAGCUAGUUGGUGAGGUAACGGCUCACCAAGGCGACGAUCCGUAACCUGGUGUGAGAGGAUGAUCAGUCACACUGGAACUGAGACACGGUCCAGACUCCUACGGGAGGCAGCAGUGGGGAAUAUUGGACAAUGGGCGAAAGCCUGAUCCAGCCAUGCCGCGUGUGUGAAGAAGGUCUUCGGAUUGUAAAGCACUUUAAGUUGGGAGGAAGGGCAUUAACCUAAUACGUUAGUGUUUG
RNAcentral lists this ribosomal RNA (495 nucleotides) under Pseudomonas moraviensis. RNAcentral's name for it is "bacterial SSU rRNA". It matches the Rfam family "Bacterial small subunit ribosomal RNA", at positions 1 to 471 of the family's 1533-position model. Lineage: Bacteria; Pseudomonadati; Pseudomonadota; Gammaproteobacteria; Pseudomonadales; Pseudomonadaceae. The record is from RNAcentral.